This 91-nucleotide ribosomal RNA is filed under the name Bacillus velezensis. RNAcentral describes it as "partial 16S ribosomal RNA". It matches the Rfam family "Bacterial small subunit ribosomal RNA", at positions 1 to 88 of the family's 1533-position model. The record is from RNAcentral. RNAcentral also lists the same sequence under 2 other names. Lineage: Bacteria; Bacillati; Bacillota; Bacilli; Caryophanales; Bacillaceae.
UUUAUCGGAGAGUUUGAUCCUGGCUCAGGACGAACGCUGGCGGCGUGCCUAAUACAUGCAAGUCGAGCGGACAGAUGGGAGCUUGCUCCCU